This 563-nucleotide ribosomal RNA is filed under the name uncultured bacterium. RNAcentral describes it as "partial 16S ribosomal RNA". It matches the Rfam family "Bacterial small subunit ribosomal RNA", at positions 355 to 937 of the family's 1533-position model. The record is from RNAcentral.
UGGGGAAUAUUGCACAAUGGGCGAAAGCCUGAUGCAGCAACGCCGCGUGAGUGAUGAAGGCCUUCGGGUUGUAAAGCUCUGUCUUUUGGGACGAUAAUGACGGUACCAAAGGAGGAAGCCACGGCUAACUACGUGCCAGCAGCCGCGGUAAUACGUAGGUGGCAAGCGUUGUCCGGAUUUACUGGGCGUAAAGGAUGCGUAGGCGGAUUUUUAAGUGAGAUGUGAAAACCCUAAGCUUAACUUGGGGACUGCAUUUCAUACUGGAAAUCUAGAGUGCGGGAGAGGAGAAUGGAAUUCCUAGUGUAGCGGUGAAAUGCGUAGAGAUUAGGAAGAACACCAGUGGCGAAGGCGAUUCUCUGGACCGUAACUGACGCUGAGGCAUGAAAAGCGUGGGUAGCAAACAGGAUUAGAUACCCUGGUAGUCCACGCCGUAAACGAUGAGUACUAGGUGUAGGAGGUAUCGACCCCUUCUGUGCCGCAGUUAACACAAUAAGUACUCCGCCUGGGAAGUACGAUCGCAAGAUUAAAAACUCAAAGGAAUUGACGGGGUCAUAGCUGUUUCC